Molecule: long non-coding RNA, 490 nt
Organism: Dromiciops gliroides (monito del monte)
Lineage: Eukaryota; Metazoa; Chordata; Mammalia; Microbiotheria; Microbiotheriidae
Exons: 5
Source: RefSeq, a predicted model, not a curated record
AAGGUUUGCAAGUCAUUUUUACAGACAUCAUUUUCUUCUCACAACCACCCUGGGAGGUGGGUGUCAUUAUUAGUUCCAUUUUACAGAUGAAGAAACCAAGGCAGACAGAAGGACUCAAGAAACCCCAUAAAACUUCAGAUCUGGAAGGGACCUAGGAGGAAAGCAAGCCUACCCAUCCUGAUAAAGGAAGAAGCCACUUCUUUACCUGAUCUUGAGACAACUUAAAAGAAGAAAACAAAACUCAAAACUAUACUCUAUUUGGGAACUACAUUGGUUACCCCUAAACUGCCUGGUUUCUUCUACAUAAAGCCACCUGCAUUUACUGCCAAACAAGUGAGACAAAGAAGGAUGGUUCAAUAAAUCAAGAAUCACUGAAGUCCAGACGACUGGCGAUGGUCCAGGAUGCAGUGGAUGACCGUGGCCUUUCCUGGGCCUCCGUUUGUCUUAUUCAAUUCCUAUUCAAUGAAUAAAAGCUGGGUUUGAAUUGAAA